This is a non-coding RNA of Poecilia reticulata (guppy), 310 nucleotides long. The record is from RefSeq and is a predicted model, not a curated record. NCBI's taxonomy places the organism in Eukaryota, Metazoa, Chordata, Actinopteri, Cyprinodontiformes, Poeciliidae.
CCCUACAUACCACCUGCAAGUCCUCCUCCUAAAACAUCUCGUCUUACGGUUCUGAAGCUGAAGAUCUCGACUACGCUGUCACUGAAAGACAACAAGGAUGAAAUCGAGAAAGCGAUUAAAGAUGAGCUGAUCAGACGAGGGCUGCCUGCAGAUAUAAAGGUCCGCCUGCUGAGCGACGGUUCAGUGCAGGUUAAGGAAAAGGCUGCCCCCUAGUGGCUAAACAUGAGGAUGAAUCUGAUCCAUGCAGUAAAUAUUACUGGGUUUAUCUGUUUUUACUUCUUGUGCUUUUGAAUAAAUCUGGGGACUUAUG